RNAcentral lists this long non-coding RNA (304 nucleotides) under Mytilus galloprovincialis (Mediterranean mussel). The record is from RNAcentral. Lineage: Eukaryota; Metazoa; Mollusca; Bivalvia; Mytilida; Mytilidae.
UCUUGCUAUUGCGGAAUACUGUGCAAUUGAAAAUUUCUUGCUAUUGCACAAUACUUAAUAUAAUAAUUUUGGACCCCGAUUUAGACCAACUUGAAAACUGGGCCCAUAAUCAAAAAUCUAAGUACAUGUUUAGAUUCAGCAUAUCAAAGAACCCCAAGAAUUCAAUUUUUGUUAAAAUCAAGCUAAGUUUAAUUUUGGACCCUUUGGACCUUAAUGUAGACCAAUUUGAAAAUAGGACCAAAAAUUAAGAAUCUGAAAACACGGUUAGAUUUGGCAUAUCAAAGAACCCCAAUAAUUCAUUUUU